GUGCUUGCUUCAGCAGCACGUAUACUAAGAUUGGAAUGCUACAGAGAAGGUUAGCAUGGCCUUCGUGGAAGGAUGAUACGCAAAUUCACAGAGCACUCCAUAUUCUU
Small nuclear RNA from Dama dama (fallow deer), 107 nucleotides. The record is from RefSeq and is a predicted model, not a curated record. Lineage: Eukaryota; Metazoa; Chordata; Mammalia; Artiodactyla; Cervidae.